AAGUCGUAACAAGGUAACCGUAGGUGAACCUGCGGUUGGAUCAUUAAAAAAAAUUGAAGCUUCAACCCUUUCAAGGGUAGAAGCGUCAGUGCUCCUCUAACAAGGAGCUUGACUACUCCAAUUUUGUGAACUUGCAACCAAAAAAUGUUUUGAUAGUGGUGAAAGAUUUGGGCAUUACCAGCCCAAGUUUUUCCCUUCUUGAAAAAAUUGUUAACCCUGAAGAAAUAACUUGUCUUUACCGUUUUUUAUAAAUAAAAAUUAAUCAACUUUUGACAACGGAUCUCUAGGCUCUC
Molecule: unclassified non-coding RNA, 293 nt
Filed under: fungal sp.
Lineage: Eukaryota; Fungi
Description: partial internal transcribed spacer region
Rfam family: Eukaryotic small subunit ribosomal RNA (bases 1-46)
Source: RNAcentral